This 492-nucleotide ribosomal RNA is filed under the name uncultured bacterium. Its description in RNAcentral is "partial 16S ribosomal RNA". It matches the Rfam family "Bacterial small subunit ribosomal RNA", at positions 30 to 507 of the family's 1533-position model. The record is from RNAcentral.
AGCGAACGCUGGCGGUAGGCCUAACACAUGCAAGUCGAACGGCAACACAGUACGAGCUUGCUCUUCCGGGUGGCGAGUGGCGGACGGGUGAGGAAUACAUCGGAAUCUACUUUUUCGUGGAGCAUAACGUAGGGAAACUUACGCUAAUAUCGCAUACGACCUACGGGUGUAAGCAGUGGAUCUUCGGACCUUGCGCGAUUGAAUGAGCCGCGGUCGGAUUAGCUAGUUGGCGGGGUAAAGGCCCACCAAGGCGACGAUCCGUAGCUGGACUGAGAGGAUGAUCAGCCACACGGGAAGUGGAACACGGUCAAGGCGACUGAGGGAGGGACCAGUGGGGAAUAUGGGACAGUGGGGGCAAGCCUGAUCCAGCGAGACCGAGUGGGUGAAGAAGGCGUUGGGUUUGUAAAGCCCGUUUGUGGGGAAAGAAAAGCAGCAGGUUAAGACGCCGCUGUUGUGACGGUACCGAAAAAAGAAGCACCGGCUAACUACGUG